This 77-nucleotide transfer RNA is filed under the name Caerostris darwini. RNAcentral describes it as "tRNA-Arg". Lineage: Eukaryota; Metazoa; Arthropoda; Arachnida; Araneae; Araneidae. The record is from RNAcentral.
GGCUUGAUGGCCGAGUGGCUAGCGCUCUGGCCCUCGGUGCCAUGGGUUUGUAGUGGUUCGGAAUCCACUUUAAGCCC